ACACAUGCAGUCGACGGUGACGAGGGAGCUUGCUCCUUCUGAUCAGUGGCGAACGGGUGAGUAACACGUGAGUAACCUGCCCCUGACUCUGGGAUAAGCACUGGAAACGGUGUCUAAUACCGGAUACGAGCUUCAGCCGCAUGGCUAGGAGUUGGAAAGAAUUUCGGUUGGGGAUGGACUCGCGGCCUAUCAGCUUGUUGGUGAGGUAAUGGCUCACCAAGGCGACGACGGGUAGCCGGCCUGAGAGGGUGACCGGCCACACUGGGACUGAGACACGGCCCAGACUCCUACGGGAGGCAGCAGUGGGGAAUAUUGCACAAUGGGCGAAAGCCUGAUGCAGCAACGCCGCGUGAGGGACGACGGCCUUCGGGUUGUAAACCUCUUUUAGUAGGGAAGAAGCGAAAGUGACGGUACCUGCAGAAAAAGCACCGGCUAACUACGUGCCAGCAGCCGCGGUAAUACGUAGGGUGCAAGCGUUGUCCGGAAUUAUUGGGCGUAAAGAGCUCGUAGGCGGUUUGUCGCGUCUGCUGUGAAAACCCGAGGCUCAACCUCGGGCCUGCAGUGGGUACGGGCAGACUAGAGUGCGGUAGGGGAGAUUGGAAUUCCUGGUGUAGCGGUGGAAUGCGCAGAUAUCAGGAGGAACACCAAUGGCGAAGGCAGAUCUCUGGGCCGUAACUGACGCUGAGGAGCGAAAGCAUGGGGAGCGAACAGGAUUAGAUACCCUGGUAGUCCAUGCCGUAAACGUUGGGAACUAGAUGUGGGGACCAUUCCACGGUCUCCGUGUCGCAGCUAACGCAUUAAGUUCCCCGCCUGGGGAGUACGGCCGCAAGGCUAAAACUC
RNAcentral lists this ribosomal RNA (840 nucleotides) under bacterium 8_xplvp75. RNAcentral describes it as "bacterial SSU rRNA". It matches the Rfam family "Bacterial small subunit ribosomal RNA", at positions 51 to 902 of the family's 1533-position model. RNAcentral also lists the same sequence under 1 other name. The record is from RNAcentral.